GAAACAAAACACUGUCAUUUGUUUAAAGUCUAAUGUGCAAAUAGAAAUAUUCAAAUGCAGGAAUAUCCUGUGGUCUGUCAAAAUCUGAUAUUACUUCUAGAAAUCAUACAAAGGUAAAGAGGAAGGAGCCAUCAGUACGGUGUACAUUUUAGGACAUCGUCAGGUCCCAAGAAAAAAGUUGUCAGGUAUCAGACAAAAAAUUGUCAGGUCUCAGUUCUCAAGAAAAAAGUUGUCAGGUAUCAGACAAAAAAAUGUCAGGUUGUCAGGUAUCAGACAAAAAAUUGUCAGGUCUCAGUUGUCAAGAAAAAAGUUGUCAGGUAUCAGACAAAAAAUUGUCAGGUCUCAGUUGUCAAGAAAAAAGUUGUCAGGUAUCAGACAAAAAAAUGUCAGGUCUCAGUUCUCAAGAAAAAAGUUGUCAGGUAUCAGACAAAAAAAUGUCAGGUCUCAGUUCUCAAGAAAAAAGUUGUCAGGUAUCAGACAAAAAAAUGUCAGGUCUCAGUUGUCAGGAAAAAAGUUGUCAGGUAUCAGACAAAAAAUGUCAGGUCUCAGUUGUCAAGAAAAAAGUUGUCAGGUAUCAGCCAAAAAAAUGUCAGGUCUCAGUUCUCAAGAAAAAAGUUGUCAGUUAUCAGACAAAAAUUGUCUGGUCACAGUUCUCAAGAAAAAAGUUGUCAGGUAUCAGAGAAAAAAAUGUCAGGUCUCAGUUCUCAAGAAAAAAGUUGUCAGGUAUCAGCCAAAAAAUUGUCAGGUCUCAGUUCUCAAGAAAAAAGUUGUCAGGUAUCAGACCAAAAAAUUGUCUGGUCACAGUUCUCAAGAAAAAAGUUGUCAGGUAUCAGAGAAAAAAAUGUCAGGUCUCAGUUGUCAAGAAAAAAGUUGUCAGUUAUCAGACAAAAAAUUGUCAGGUCUCAGUUCUCAAGAAAAAAGUUGUCAGGUAUCAGAACACAAGGUACCAGAGAGAAAAUCUUCCUGCAGGUGGCGGUGUUGUCAUGUCCCACCCUGUGUUGCCAACUUAGCGAAUUUGUCGCUAUAUUUAGCGAGUUUUCAG
This is a long non-coding RNA of Astatotilapia calliptera (eastern happy), 1042 nucleotides long. The record is from Ensembl. Lineage: Eukaryota; Metazoa; Chordata; Actinopteri; Cichliformes; Cichlidae.